RNAcentral lists this ribosomal RNA (496 nucleotides) under uncultured bacterium. Its description in RNAcentral is "partial 16S ribosomal RNA". It matches the Rfam family "Bacterial small subunit ribosomal RNA", at positions 28 to 506 of the family's 1533-position model. The record is from RNAcentral.
GAUGAACGCUGGCGGCGUGCCUAAUACAUGCAAGUCGAGCGAACAGACGAGGAGCUUGCUCCUCUGACGUUAGCGGCGGACGGGUGAGUAACACGUGGAUAACCUACCUAUAAGACUGGGAUAACUUCGGGAAACCGGAGCUAAUACCGGAUAAUAUAUUGAACCGCAUGGUUCAAUAGUGAAAGACGGUUUUGCUGUCACUUAUAGAUGGAUCCGCGCCGCAUUAGCUAGUUGGUAAGGUAACGGCUUACCAAGGCAACGAUGCGUAGCCGACCUGAGAGGGUGAUCGGCCACACUGGAACUGAGACACGGUCCAGACUCCUACGGGAGGCAGCAGUAGGGAAUCUGCCGCAAUGGGCGAAAGCCUGACGGAGCAACGCCGCGUGAGUGAUGAAGGUCUUCGGAUCGUAAAACUCUGUUAUUAGGGAAGAACAAAUGUGUAAGUAACUAUGCACGUCUUGACGGUACCUAAUCAGAAAGCCACGGCUAACUACGU